This 71-nucleotide transfer RNA is filed under the name Chaetodon modestus (brown banded butterflyfish). RNAcentral describes it as "tRNA-Thr". It matches the Rfam family "tRNA". From Rfam's summary of the family: Transfer RNA (tRNA) molecules are approximately 80 nucleotides in length. Their secondary structure includes four short double-helical elements and three loops (D, anti-codon, and T loops). Lineage: Eukaryota; Metazoa; Chordata; Actinopteri; Chaetodontiformes; Chaetodontidae. The record is from RNAcentral.
GCACUUGUAGCUUAACCUUAGAGCGCCGGUCUUGUAAGCCGGACGUAGGGGUUAAAGUCCCCUCUUCUGCU